Molecule: ribosomal RNA, 985 nt
Filed under: Janthinobacterium lividum
Lineage: Bacteria; Pseudomonadati; Pseudomonadota; Betaproteobacteria; Burkholderiales; Oxalobacteraceae
Description: bacterial SSU rRNA
Rfam family: Bacterial small subunit ribosomal RNA
Source: RNAcentral
AAGUCGAACGGCAGCACGGAGCUUGCUCUGGUGGCGAGUGGCGAACGGGUGAGUAAUAUAUCGGAACGUACCCUAGAGUGGGGGAUAACGUAGCGAAAGUUACGCUAAUACCGCAUACGAUCUAAGGAUGAAAGUGGGGGAUCGCAAGACCUCAUGCUCGUGGAGCGGCCGAUAUCUGAUUAGCUAGUUGGUAGGGUAAAAGCCUACCAAGGCAUCGAUCAGUAGCUGGUCUGAGAGGACGACCAGCCACACUGGAACUGAGACACGGUCCAGACUCCUACGGGAGGCAGCAGUGGGGAAUUUUGGACAAUGGGCGAAAGCCUGAUCCAGCAAUGCCGCGUGAGUGAAGAAGGCCUUCGGGUUGUAAAGCUCUUUUGUCAGGGAAGAAACGGUGAAAGCUAAUAUCUUUUGCUAAUGACGGUACCUGAAGAAUAAGCACCGGCUAACUACGUGCCAGCAGCCGCGGUAAUACGUAGGGUGCAAGCGUUAAUCGGAAUUACUGGGCGUAAAGCGUGCGCAGGCGGUUUUGUAAGUCUGAUGUGAAAUCCCCGGGCUCAACCUGGGAAUUGCAUUGGAGACUGCAAGGCUAGAAUCUGGCAGAGGGGGGUAGAAUUCCACGUGUAGCAGUGAAAUGCGUAGAUAUGUGGAGGAACACCGAUGGCGAAGGCAGCCCCCUGGGUCAAGAUUGACGCUCAUGCACGAAAGCGUGGGGAGCAAACAGGAUUAGAUACCCUGGUAGUCCACGCCCUAAACGAUGUCUACUAGUUGUCGGGUCUUAAUUGACUUGGUAACGCAGCUAACGCGUGAAGUAGACCGCCUGGGGAGUACGGUCGCAAGAUUAAAACUCAAAGGAAUUGACGGGGACCCGCACAAGCGGUGGAUGAUGUGGAUUAAUUCGAUGCAACGCGAAAAACCUUACCUACCCUUGACAUGGCUGGGAAUCCUUCGAGAGAUUAGGGAGUGCUCGAAAGAGAAACCAGUACAC